This 194-nucleotide microRNA precursor is filed under the name Oryza brachyantha (malo sina). Its description in RNAcentral is "MIR812 microRNA precursor family". It matches the Rfam family "MIR812 microRNA precursor family". The record is from Rfam by way of RNAcentral. Lineage: Eukaryota; Viridiplantae; Streptophyta; Magnoliopsida; Poales; Poaceae.
AAUAAACCGAUUUUUCAUUUUUUACCUUCAAUUUUUUGACUCUUCGUCUUAUUCAAAUUUUUUUACGAUUGAUAUUUUUGUUUUUAUUAGAUGAUAAAUCAUGAAUAGUACUUUACGUGUGGCUAAUUUUUUUUCUAAUUUUCUAAAAAAUUUUCAAAUAAGACGGAUGGUCAAACGUUGGACACGAAAACCGA